UAAGUUAUUAAGGGCGCACGGUGGAUGCCUUGGCACUAGAAGCCGAUGAAGGACGUUACUAACGACGAUAUGCUUUGGGGAGCUGUAAGUAAGCUUUGAUCCAGAGAUUUCCGAAUGGGGAAACCCAGCAUGAGUUAUGUCAUGUUAUCGAUAUGUGAAUACAUAGCAUAUCAGAAGGCACACCCGGAGAACUGAAACAUCUUAGUACCCGGAGGAAGAGAAAGAAAAUUCGAUUCCCUUAGUAGCGGCGAGCGAAACGGGAAGAGCCCAAACCAACAAGCUUGCUUGUUGGGGUUGUAGGACACUCUAUACGGAGUUACAAAGGACGACAUUAGACGAAUCAUCUGGAAAGAUGAAUCAAAGAAGGUAAUAAUCCUGUAGUCGAAAAUGUUGUCUCUCUUGAGUGGAUCCUGAGUACGACGGAGCACGUGAAAUUCCGUCGGAAUCUGGGAGGACCAUCUCCUAAGGCUAAAUACUCUCUAGUGACCGAUAGUGAACCAGUACCGUGAGGGAAAGGUGAAAAGCACCCCGGAAGGGGAGUGAAAUAGAACCUGAAACCGUGUGCUUACAAGUAGUCAGAGCCCGUUAAUGGGUGAUGGCGUGCCUUUUGUAGAAUGAACCGGCGAGUUACGAUUUGAUGCAAGGUUAAGCAGUAAAUGUGGAGCCGUAGCGAAAGCGAGUCUGAAUAGGGCGUUUAGUAUUUGGUCGUAGACCCGAAACCAGGUGAUCUACCCUUGGUCAGGUUGAAGUUCAGGUAACACAGAAUGGAGGACCGAACCGACUUACGUUGAAAAGUGAGCGGAUGAACUGAGGGUAGCGGAGAAAUUCCAAUCGAACCUGGAGAUAGCUGGUUCUCUCCGAAAUAGCUUUAGGGCUAGCCUCAAGUGAUGAUUAUUGGAGGUAGAGCACUGUUUGGACGAGGGGCCCCUCUCGGGUUACCGAAUUCAGACAAACUCCGAAUGCCAAUUAAUUUAACUUGGGAGUCAGAACAUGGGUGAUAAGGUCCGUGUUCGAAAGGGAAACAGCCCAGACCACCAGCUAAGGUCCCAAAAUAUAUGUUAAGUGGAAAAGGAUGUGGCGUUGCCCAGACAACUAGGAUGUUGGCUUAGAAGCAGCCAUCAUUUAAAGAGUGCGUAAUAGCUCACUAGUCGAGUGACACUGCGCCGAAAAUGUACCGGGGCUAAACAUAUUACCGAAGCUGUGGAUUGUCCUUUGGACAAUGGUAGGAGAGCGUUCUAAGGGCGUUGAAGCAUGAUCGUAAGGACAUGUGGAGCGCUUAGAAGUGAGAAUGCCGGUGUGAGUAGCGAAAGACGGGUGAGAAUCCCGUCCACCGAUUGACUAAGGUUUCCAGAGGAAGGCUCGUCCGCUCUGGGUUAGUCGGGUCCUAAGCUGAGGCCGACAGGCGUAGGCGAUGGAUAACAGGUUGAUAUUCCUGUACCACCUAUAAUCGUUUUAAUCGAUGGGGGGGACGCAGUAGGAUAGGCGAAGCGUGCGAUUGGAUUGCACGUCUAAGCAGUAAGGCUGAGUAUUAGGCAAAUCCGGUACUCAUUAAGGCUGAGCUGUGAUGGGGAGAAGACAUUGUGUCUUCGAGUCGUUGAUUUCACACUGCCGAGAAAAGCCUCUAGAUAGAAAAUAGGUGCCCGUACCGCAAACCGACACAGGUAGUCAAGAUGAGAAUUCUAAGGUGAGCGAGCGAACUCUCGUUAAGGAACUCGGCAAAAUGACCCCGUAACUUCGGGAGAAGGGGUGCUCUUUAGGGUUAACGCCCAGAAGAGCCGCAGUGAAUAGGCCCAAGCGACUGUUUAUCAAAAACACAGGUCUCUGCUAAACCGUAAGGUGAUGUAUAGGGGCUGACGCCUGCCCGGUGCUGGAAGGUUAAGAGGAGUGGUUAGCUUCUGCGAAGCUACGAAUCGAAGCCCCAGUAAACGGCGGCCGUAACUAUAACGGUCCUAAGGUAGCGAAAUUCCUUGUCGGGUAAGUUCCGACCCGCACGAAAGGCGUAACGAUUUGGGCACUGUCUCAACGAGAGACUCGGUGAAAUCAUAGUACCUGUGAAGAUGCAGGUUACCCGCGACAGGACGGAAAGACCCCGUGGAGCUUUACUGUAGCCUGAUAUUGAAAUUCGGCACAGCUUGUACAGGAUAGGUAGGAGCCUUUGAAACGUGAGCGCUAGCUUACGUGGAGGCGCUGGUGGGAUACUACCCUAGCUGUGUUGGCUUUCUAACCCGCACCACUUAUCGUGGUGGGAGACAGUGUCAGGCGGGCAGUUUGACUGGGGCGGUCGCCUCCUAAAAGGUAACGGAGGCGCUCAAAGGUUCCCUCAGAGUGGUUGGAAAUCAUUCAUAGAGUGUAAAGGCAUGAGGGAGCUUGACUGCGAGACCUACAAGUCGAGCAGGGUCGAAAGACGGACUUAGUGAUCCGGUGGUUCCGCAUGGAAGGGCCAUCGCUCAACGGAUAAAAGCUACCCCGGGGAUAACAGGCUUAUCUCCCCCAAGAGUUCACAUCGACGGGGAGGUUUGGCACCUCGAUGUCGGCUCAUCGCAUCCUGGGGCUGUAGUCGGUCCCAAGGGUUGGGCUGUUCGCCCAUUAAAGCGGUACGCGAGCUGGGUUCAGAACGUCGUGAGACAGUUCGGUCCCUAUCCGUCGUGGGCGUAGGAAAUUUGAGAGGAGCUGUCCUUAGUACGAGAGGACCGGGAUGGACAUACCUCUGGUGUACCAGUUGUCGUGCCAACGGCAUAGCUGGGUAGCUAUGUGUGGACGGGAUAAGUGCUGAAAGCAUCUAAGCAUGAAGCCCCCCUCAAGAUGAGAUUUCCCAACUUCGGUUAUAAGAUCCCUCAAAGAUGAUGAGGUUAAUAGGUUCGAGGUGGAAGCAUGGUGACAUGUGGAGCUGACGAAUACUAAUCGAUCGAAGACUUAAUCA
Molecule: ribosomal RNA, 2920 nt
Filed under: Staphylococcus aureus subsp. aureus CIG1267
Lineage: Bacteria; Bacillati; Bacillota; Bacilli; Caryophanales; Staphylococcaceae
Description: bacterial LSU rRNA
Rfam family: Bacterial large subunit ribosomal RNA
Source: RNAcentral